GCGGUGCGCGUCGGGAGGACCCGGUGGUAUAUCUUGAAUGUCAAAACGACUCUCGGCAACGGAUAUCUCGGCUCUCGCAUCGAUGAAGAACGUAGCGAAAUGCGAUACUUGGUGUGAAUUGCAGAAUCCCGUGAACCAUCGAGUCUUUGAACGCAAGUUGCGCCCGAAGCCAUUAGGCCGAGGGCACGUCUGCCUGGGCGUCACGC
RNAcentral lists this ribosomal RNA (206 nucleotides) under Keckiella ternata. RNAcentral describes it as "5.8S ribosomal RNA". The stretch from base 48 to 203 matches the Rfam family "5.8S ribosomal RNA". From Rfam's summary of the family: 5.8S ribosomal RNA (5.8S rRNA) is a component of the large subunit of the eukaryotic ribosome. It is transcribed by RNA polymerase I as part of the 45S precursor that also contains 18S and 28S rRNA. The record is from RNAcentral. Lineage: Eukaryota; Viridiplantae; Streptophyta; Magnoliopsida; Lamiales; Plantaginaceae.